CCGUCUAUCCCUGGUAUCUGCUUCAUUCGCCAGUGGCUCGUCUUACCUCCCCUCUCCCCUCCUCUCCCCCCCCCCACACACACAACCGUCAUUCCACACACACACACACGCGCACACACACACAUGCAACCAGGAGCGAUCCGAGGCUCUCCUGGCGCUGAGCCGUCGCGCGGAUAUCUUAGUGGCUCGCUCGUCCAAAUGCGCCAGGGUGGCCGGUGACUUGGGUACGGCACUGGCGGCGGAGGCGGAAGUGGAAGCGGCGGCGGAGGCGGUGGGCCCUACACCAGCGACGGCUCUGCAGGUCGCGGCGGAGGGGUUGGCAAAGGUACGGUACGGCAAGCUGUACGGCAGUGCCUUUAUGAUGUGUGAAACAGGGGGGUGUAUCUUCGCCCGUGGCAGCUACCCUGCGAAACCCUGCCUUCCCCGGUAUUUCGGGGCACCCUCAUCCAAUCACCCUAGUCAACUUCUCAGUGGAUCGCUCAGGUUCCGCACCCACCACCAGCAUCCAACGGAAUCUGCCGGGUCGACAGCGGCCCAACUCCAUUCCUGGUCGGCUCGCAGGUUACCUUUAUCCCAGGUCACCACCGUCCAUCAACUAGGGGCGCAAUACCUUCCACCAUCGGAAGGACUUUUGACCCUAACGGGUAUCGAUCCCGGGAUCUCCCGGGGGCAAUGGUCGCGCCUUACCAGUGGUGCCAAACCCUUGUAUAUAUGUAUGCAUGCAUUCAUAUACGCAUGCCGUACUCAGUCGGAUAAUGUACGCCGCGUUGGUGCGUAUUGUAUGCUGUAGAUCAGCAAGUUGUACGGCGUCGCCACUGACGCCUCCGCCAAGCACUUGACGCCGAUACAUGACUGGCUGGCGGCGGUGCCCGGCGCGACGGCGGCGCUGGCGGCGCGGGAGAGGUGCUUGCUGACGUUGGCGACCCUCAGGACAGACGAGAUAGAGGCGAGGGCAAAGCUGGCGGAGGCGGAGGCGCGGACCGGCGGCGG
RNAcentral lists this long non-coding RNA (990 nucleotides) under Volvox carteri. RNAcentral's name for it is "long non-coding RNA (VCAR_LNC002900)". Lineage: Eukaryota; Viridiplantae; Chlorophyta; Chlorophyceae; Chlamydomonadales; Volvocaceae. The record is from RNAcentral.